Molecule: small RNA, 718 nt
Filed under: Pongo abelii (Sumatran orangutan)
Lineage: Eukaryota; Metazoa; Chordata; Mammalia; Primates; Hominidae
Description: retained intron
Source: RNAcentral
UGAAACACCAGACCUUUGCAAAUGAAGUCUAUGGCCGAUCUGACCAGGUGAACGGCGUCAUCAACCUGGGGAACUCCCUGAUUGAGCGUAGCGCUUGUGAUGGCAAUGAAGAGGCCAUGAAGGAGCAACUCGAACGGCUGAAGGAACAUUGGGAUCAUCUGCUUAAGAGAACAACUGACAAAGGGCAGAAGCUCAAUGAGGCCAGUCGUCAACAGAGGUUCAACACAAGCAUCCGGGACUUUGAGUUCUGGCUCUCAGAGGCAGAGACAUUGCUGGCCAUGAAAGAUCAGGCCAGGGACUUGGCUUCAGCAGGAAACCUACUCAAGAAGCAUCAGCUAUUGGAGACAGAGAUGUUGGCUCGAGAGGUAAGUAGUGCUGGGAUUCCUCUCCUCUGGGCAGAAUAGAAACAUUUCUGGCUUUUCUCCCUCCUGUCUUAGGAGACCAUUUGAAAACGUAGCCUUGCAAAAUUGUUCUUAGUGUUCUCAACCAGCAGUCAUUUUAACUAGGUAAAAUUAAUGGGCUGUGAAGACAUUAAAACUGUCACUGAUAAUCAAUUAUCACUAAACUGUAGACUCUAAGAUUCCAGAAAGUGGACUCUAAAAACUAUCUUUUUUAUCUUUUACUGAUGCAUACAUAUAAGCCAAUUAUCUUUAAGCUAUAUAUUUGAUCUGGUAUUUGAAAGAAAGUGGAAGUUUACUUUAUAGAAUUACAAACAAAA